Molecule: long non-coding RNA, 915 nt
Filed under: Zostera marina
Lineage: Eukaryota; Viridiplantae; Streptophyta; Magnoliopsida; Alismatales; Zosteraceae
Description: long non-coding RNA (ZMAR_LNC002040)
Source: RNAcentral
ACCGGGUCCCCGUACCCGACCAAUGACCGGGUACGAGGACGGGGAUGAUUUUUGAGUCCUGGUAUUUCCCCGUCCCCGUCCCGUCCCCACUCACUCCUACCGGAAACUAUUGUCCAAGCUGGGAAUGCAUGAUAUACACUUUCUAGCUUGAAAGGGUGUUAAACACUCUAUAAUUAUACACUUAGUAUUUAUCUCUUUAAUCCAGGAAUGGACUUUUGAUAGUUCAGCACAAUACUUAUUGGCCUCUUAAGUCAUCAUAUAUAAGUAGAAACUUGUAAUUAAAAACAUUUUCUUUUGAUUUAUUUUGAAUACAAAAAUCGUUUGUUGAAACCCUAGUGUCGGUUUGUCUCACAUCUCCCCCUUCCUCCAAUCAGUGCCGAUCAUUACGCUUGAUCUCAACGCUCACUCUCCAACACUUCUUGUUGUAAUCCUGACGUUCUCAAUGAUAACGGAAAAAAAUGGUCUAAGGGUUUGCUUCGUUGUAAGACAUGGCAGGUCUUAUACUAUGUAAGAUACGAAGAGGAAGGGGAAGUCUCUGACCGAUAGCCGGAGAAAAGGAAGAGAAGUAAACAAUUGCAAUUUCGUAAUUAUUUUGUGUAUGUGUGUGAGUUGGUACAAAAAAGGUCAAUCUUCCCAACUUUGGGUCUGGACAAUACAAGAGUAAAUGAAUGGAACAUGAUUUAUAUCAUUGUUUGGAAAAUAAAUGAAUUAGGUAGAUUUUCUGUGUGUCGAAUUUUAAUACGUUAAAAUGUGUCAAAAAAAUCCUGACUAUUAGAUCGACAUUUCGUCGUACAUGAGUUAGUGUCUACAUUCUUUUUCAUUGUACGUGUGUUAGUGUCUUAUGCAGUAUAUUAUCGUAGUUGUUGAAUUAAAAAUUAAAAGACAGAAAUACGUACGACGUAUUUUGGCACACCG